GGCAUUUUCCUUUGAUACGUCUUUGACGCAGACAGUGGGAACCAUUCCUCUCUGGAAAAAAAUACGGCAGCCCUAACAUUGCACUGUGCUGCUGCUUGUUUUGCCAACUUUAUUACACAUUACACUGAGAAAACUUUUCAAACCAAAUGCAACAGGUUUAUGCAGCUAUCAUCUGAGCUUCUCACGGAACAAUUUCAAGCUAGGCAAGAGAUAUGAGAGAUUUGGAGAACAAGGAGUUCAGAAAAUAAAGUUUAACCAUGCAGAAAUGGAUUAAUUCAUCACUGUUACUGAGCAGUGCAUAAGCUGGUGUGCUGUUACUAUAAAAGAGACUACAUUCACUGUUUAGUUUGUAAAGGAUGACAAGAGGAGUGUUCCUACACUAUCUCCGGUCCAGUCUUCACAACAGUGAGCAGUGACUAUUUCUAAUCAGCGUAAGUGCCGGAAAGUGACAUAAAACUCAGGCAGUAAGCAGCAAGUGCCAUGCACCUCGAGCACAAUUAUCAGCCCGGUCUAAGGAUACCACUAACAGACGGCAAAGGAUUUCACCGGACAAAACGCCAAAAUUUGCCUGCCUUUCGACCUGGCCUCACAAAUCCCGAGGUGUGCAGCUGCGUUUCCCUGUCGGAGGAGAAGCAAGGUACAUUCAGCCUGCUCUCAGCCGAUGCAAGAGAUACAUUUUACAGGGAAUCAAGUGUAUUAAGCAAUUUCUAUCAUGACUUGCCUCUGAUUGGGCUGUCACGCAUGAAAGGCAGAUAUUUAUACUGUGACUGGUCAGGUAAGCCAUUUCCACCACACGGGGUCUUUUAAAAGUAUUUGGUACCGUAAAUGUUCAGAGUAACAUUAUCUUCUCCUACUUUUUAUUCAGUCCUCAGGUACUUCCUGCUGACCACUUAAAUAUGACAUAAAGGUGUAUAGCCUGUUAGGCAAAACACAAAAACUGUCUUGUACCUGGAAAGAUUACUUGAUAGAAAGCUCUAAGAGAAGAUGAAGAUAACCUUUCUAAUUUCCUGGAAUAGGGAAAGUGGAAGACAUUUGCUAUGAUUUCCAGGUUAGUCCAGACAAUUCAAUGCAACAGGACAUGGUGAAUGUUGGCAGUUUACCUGCAGUUUAGUAUUCUCAGGAAGAAUACAGUGAAGGGAAUUAAAAACAUAGGCAACACCUUUGACUAGAAGUCUCUUUGAGCCAUUUAGCACCAGAUGUUGGGAGAAGUUUUCAGCACUAUAUGCUUGUCUACAAUUAGACUUCUUUUGUAGCAAACAGCUCUUUGUCCAGUUUGGCUGCUUUACAUGGUUUUGGAACCUUUUCUGCAGCUCAUACUGGAAUAAAUGAUACUAUUUAAUUGUAAUGGUCCUAUUG
This 1356-nucleotide long non-coding RNA is filed under the name Anser brachyrhynchus (Pink-footed goose). RNAcentral describes it as "lncRNA (ENSABRG00000001063.1)". The record is from RNAcentral. Lineage: Eukaryota; Metazoa; Chordata; Aves; Anseriformes; Anatidae.